Molecule: non-coding RNA, 741 nt
Organism: Neolamprologus brichardi
Lineage: Eukaryota; Metazoa; Chordata; Actinopteri; Cichliformes; Cichlidae
Source: RefSeq, a predicted model, not a curated record
UCGACUGUGGUAGUACAUCCUAGCGGGAGGGGCUAUGAGCUCACGGGGCUUGUAGCUGUGCCAGAGAGCAAGCUUGGGUGAGCUAGCGGGGAAUAUCUCCUUCUGCAAUAGCCUUAAAAAAAGACUAUUGUUCGUUCUCCUGCCAGACGCCUCGCUGCUGUGCUGCCUUACUACUGUGCUGUCUCGCUGGUGCCAUUAAAGGACCGGCGGCUGCCAUCUAUUCAUCCAUCCGGACCUCGAUUAUUUGGACCGAAGUACUCACACACACGCCCGCACUCAGUGCCAUACACUCUCUUUAUUUUGCUGGCCAGCUAACACCAUUGUUUUUUUUCUUUUUGCAUUCACAAAGACAAUCCAAAGACAUUUUGGUUAUUGUCAAAUAGACACUCUCUGAUUACAGACUGAGGAGGUUGUGGUGUUACAACCCCAGGACUGAGAAAAAAGACUCUUUACAUAAUAUAUUCACUUGUCUCCUGGUUAGGAGAAGUGACUAUUGAUGGAAAUAUUUUUUCUUCUUCUUGUCUUUGUUUACAUUGUAUCCCAGAGAAGUUUUAAGUUGUUCAGGUUGAAACAUUUGCACUUAAAGUCUGUUAAGUUUCCUUUGAUGUAUCAGUGUCAAGCUGAUGUUUAAGAGGGUAUGUUAAGGACAGAUGUGCUCCAGUCCAUCAAUCCUUUAAAGUGCUGGACACCGAUGGUAAAUUGCCAUCAGACCCUAAAUAAAUUGUCCUCUGCUGUUAUCCA